Molecule: ribosomal RNA, 405 nt
Filed under: uncultured bacterium
Lineage: Bacteria
Description: partial 16S ribosomal RNA
Rfam family: Bacterial small subunit ribosomal RNA
Source: RNAcentral
GAUGAACGCUGGCGGCGUGCCUAAUACAUGCAAGUCGAGCGAAGCGGGGACGGGUGAGUAACACGUGGAUAACCUCCUAUAAGACGGGGAUAACAUCGGGAAACGGGAGCUAAACCGGAUAGUUAUCGAGGGAUCCGCGCUGAAUUAGCUAGUUGGUAAGGUACCGGCCUACCACGGCAGCGAUGCAUAGCCGACCUGAGCGGGUGAUCGGCCACCCUGGAACUGAGACACGGUCCAGACUCCUACGGGAGGCAGCAGUGGGGAAUCUUCCGCAAUGGGCGAAAGCCUUACGGAGCAACGCCGCGUGAGUGAUGACGGUCUUCGGGUCGUAAAGCUCUGUUAUUAGGGAAGCGGUACCUGCUCAGAAAGCCCCGGCUAACUACGUGCCAGCAGCCGCGGUAAUUC